UUUAUCUUGCUUCUGAGCUGGAUUCAGUUUGAGCCUCUUAAACUUGGAGAAUACGUGUUUCCACCGGAAGGAAACGCCAUUGGCUGGGUGUUGGCAUUUAUUCCCAUUUCAUGUGUUCCCAUUGGAGCUUUUUGGGAGCUUUUUAAACAUAGGGACAUCCCGUUUAAAGAGCGCCUGCAGUUUCUUUUGGUCUCCACACCAACGUGGAGAAAAAAUGCCGAUAAAAAUACACGUCAAGAGUUGGAGGGAGUGUUACCCACUGUCACCGUGGGUCAAAACUCGGUAUCGACAGCUUACAGCAACGCCUUUAAUCAGCCUCCGCCUCAAUAUACCAUUAAAUAAACUUUCUUUUGAGAGUCGAGAAAAUAAAUCGGUAUUGUUGUAUAUAAUCCCUGUAAUUUAAAAUUUAUGUACAGAAUAUUACUUCAUAAUUUUAGUUAGGUUCCUUAUAUCAUAACUAUUUUCUUGAAAGUAAUUAGACGGUAGUACGAUAAGAAUCACUGUUUGAAACUGAUUAUCAGUAUUUCGCUUUUACGGCUUUUUCAAGGUUAAUACAUACAAACCCUGAAGAAGCCUUAAAAGCGAAACGUUGGUAGUAAUAAAAAAAAAUAUAUAUAUACAUCUGGGUGUGUGUAGGUCGUUUAUCUAAACUUUUAUCACAAUGUGUAAAUCCCUUCAGUAAUGCAGUACAAAAACUUUGAAAUAAAACAAAAGUACCAAGUAGAUUUAGCUUUAUUAUAAGCAUUAUACUAACUUUUGUGAUUAAGAAUACAAUUGCACUUUAAACAUUUACCUGUAAUGAAAACUACUCGUUUUACGCCUUCUAUAAACUUACAAUACUUACUCAUACCGCAUGUGUUUGAAUGAUUUAGCUAUCUUAAGUCAUUCUAGGUUUUAAAAUUUCGAACACUAUCACAUCAUCUAUAAAAGUAUUCUGCCUCUCAGAUAUUGUGUACCUGUAGAAGUAUUCCGCCUCUCAGAUAUUAUGUUUCUGUAGAAUUAUUCGGUCUGUCAGAUAUUACGUAUCUAUCAAAAAGUAUUCCGCCUCUCAAACAUUGUAUGUCUGUAUUUUAUUUUUUAAGUAAGUUAACGGUACAAUUCAGUUUUUUUCUCUGAAAUAUUUAUCAAAUAUAGAAACGAGAAUAAGAAAUCAUAAACGUGGAAACAUUCUUUAAUGCUUUAUGUAAUGUGUAUAAACUUUAGUUUCGUAUUAAUUUUUUCUAGUUUUGCACUAUAUUUAUAGGCGGAGUGUAACAGAAAUGCAAGAUUGAUAUGACUAUGGUGAAACCAAUAUUUAUUCUAGUUUAAUAGGACAUAAAAAUGUAGUUUUAGUAUUUAGAAAGUUCCCCAAAGUAUAAAAUUGGAAUCUAAUUUUGUACAUUAUUAAAAAUGUGCCUAAUUAUACGAUUACUUGAGAUAAAUAUCAACUUUAGGCCUCAGUUGUAUAAAAGCUCACACAUUAGUAAUACUGUUGCCAUAAGUUAUUCUUAUAUUUAUGAAUACUGCGAACACCUAAAGUAUUUUAUAGGUUAUUUGUGGUAAGUAAAGGACUAUAAAUCAAAACCAAGUUGUUACUGUGUUACUUUUGAGA
Molecule: long non-coding RNA, 1591 nt
Filed under: Limulus polyphemus (Atlantic horseshoe crab)
Lineage: Eukaryota; Metazoa; Arthropoda; Merostomata; Xiphosura; Limulidae
Description: uncharacterized LOC106475407
Source: RNAcentral